Phyllostomus discolor (pale spear-nosed bat) is the source of this 164-nucleotide small nuclear RNA. RefSeq annotates it as U1 spliceosomal RNA. The record is from RefSeq and is a predicted model, not a curated record. The transcript has a single exon. NCBI's taxonomy places the organism in Eukaryota, Metazoa, Chordata, Mammalia, Chiroptera, Phyllostomidae.
AUACUUACCUGGCAGGGGAAAGACCAUGAUCACGAAGGUGAUUUUCCCAGGGAGAGGGUUAUCCAUCGCACUCUGGAUAUGCUGACCCCUGCGAUUUUCUGAAAUGUGGGCAACUCAACUGCAUAAUUUUUGCUAGUGGGGGACUGUGUUUGCACCCUCCCCAG